UACGAGAGGCCCAAACGUUAUUCGGAAUUACUGGGCGUAAAGCGCGCGUAGGCGGACCUGCAAGUCGGGGGUGAAAGCCCGAGGCUCAACCUCGGAACUGCCUUCGAUACUGCGGGUCUCGAGUCCGGGAGAGGUGAGUGGAAUUCCUAGUGUAGAGGUGAAAUUCGUAGAUAUUAGGAAGAACACCAGUGGCGAAGGCGGCUCACUGGCCCGGUACUGACGCUGAGGCGCGAAAGCGUGGGGAGCAAACAGG
This 253-nucleotide ribosomal RNA is filed under the name uncultured bacterium. RNAcentral's name for it is "partial 16S ribosomal RNA". It matches the Rfam family "Bacterial small subunit ribosomal RNA", at positions 524 to 776 of the family's 1533-position model. The record is from RNAcentral.